AAUUUGCAAUAACUUAGCAAAACGCCACCUUAGUGAAAUAAUUAUACAAGAAUAUAUUUUAGCACUUUCCGAGAAUGCUACAUACUUAAUAAAACCCCGAAAGUUGCAUCAAAACUUACAAUUAUUUUGUUUUUAGUGUUUUUGUAUUUACACUCACGGGAACCCUGCGUCUAAUUUUUCCCGCGUUUUGCUCUUCUAACUCGCGGCCGACACCGUGACUUGAUAAAGUUUUUGCAUUAUUUUUGUCGUGGCUAUAGCCAAGAAAGAAAUUCGACACAUCUUAACACUUUUAUAAUAAAAAGACGUACAAACGAUGGAUGGAAGGACAAAGGAUGGGUUUGGAAAAAGUAGGCGAAUCCCAACUCAAGCAAGCUGCCAGCUUUAAAGGCAUGAUGCUAGGGCAGGAUGUAUUCAUCAAUACAGCUAAGUAACAAAAA
Molecule: long non-coding RNA, 437 nt
Organism: Nematostella vectensis (starlet sea anemone)
Lineage: Eukaryota; Metazoa; Cnidaria; Anthozoa; Actiniaria; Edwardsiidae
Exons: 2
Source: RefSeq, a predicted model, not a curated record